Molecule: non-coding RNA, 28 nt
Filed under: Cricetulus griseus (Chinese hamster)
Lineage: Eukaryota; Metazoa; Chordata; Mammalia; Rodentia; Cricetidae
Source: RNAcentral
GAUUAAGAACUUGACUCCUCUAUUCUGA